AACAUCAGAACAUUACAACAUUACAACAACAGAACACUACAACAUCAGAACACUACAACAUUAGAACAUUACAACAUCAGAACACUACAACAUCAGAACAUUACAACAUCAGAACAUGACAACAUCAGAACAUUACAACAACAGAACACUACAACAUCAGAACAUUACAACAUCAGAACAUUACAACAUCAGAACAUUACAACAUCAGAACAUUACAACAUCAGAACAUUACAACAUUACAACAACAGAACACUACAACAUCAGAACAUUACAACAUCAGAACAUUACAACAUCAGAACAUUACAACAUCAGAACAUUACAACAUCAGAACAUGACAACAUCAGAACAUCAUAAUAUCAGAACAUUACAAGAUCAGAACAUUAUGACAUCAGAACAUUACGACAUCAGAACAUCAUUAUAUCAGAACAUUACAAAAUCAGAACAUUACGACAUCAGAACAUUACAACAUCAGAACAUUACAACAUCAGAACAUCAGAACAUGACAACAUCAGAACAUCAUUAUAUCAGAACAUUACAACAUCAGAACAUUACAACAUCAGAACAUUACAACAUCACAACAUCAGAACAUCAGAACAUUACAACAUCAGAACAUUACAACAUCACAACAUCAGAACAUCAUUAUAUCAGAACAUUACAACAUCAGAACAUUACAACAUCAGAACAUCAUAAAAUCUGAACAUUACAACAUUACAACAUUACAACAUCAGAACAUCAGAAUAUCACAACAUCCGAACAUCAUAAUAUCACAACAUCACAACAUCAGAAUAUCAGAACAUCAGAAUAUCACAACAUCCGAACAUCAUAAUAUCACAACAUCAGAACAUCCGAACAUCAUAAUAUCACAACAUCACAACAUCAGAACAUUACAACAUCAGAAUAUCACAACAUCACAACAUCAGAACCAUCAGAAUAUCAGAACAUCACAACAUCAGAAUAUCAGAACAUCACAACAUCAGAAUAUCAGAACAUCAUAAUAUCACAACAUCACAACAUCAGAACCAUCAGAAUAUCACAAC
This 1037-nucleotide long non-coding RNA is filed under the name Salmo salar (Atlantic salmon). RNAcentral's name for it is "lncRNA (ENSSSAG00000113905.1)". The record is from RNAcentral. Lineage: Eukaryota; Metazoa; Chordata; Actinopteri; Salmoniformes; Salmonidae.